AAUGAAAGACAACAGCAUUGGACCACAAGAUAGACUGAUCUGUUUUGGACAACUUUUUGGCAUGUGUGACCAUAUCAGUUUUCCUUUAGGUCAGGCUGAGUACUCUGUGUACAAGUACGUACCUUACGGACCGGUGGAAGAGGUUCUUCCGUACCUCUUUAGAAGAGCCAUGGAAAACAGAGGGGUUCUGAAGAAGGUCAAGAAAGAAAAGAGGCUCCUCUGGCAAGAACUACGAAGAAGGUUAAAGAGUGGGGAGCUCCGAUACAAUCCAAUGAAGAUUUCUGCCCAAGAAACAUCCGGCUGUGCAGGGGAAUAUGUCUUCUAGAGUAUGAUAAGGAGACCAGGUCAAAGGUGAUCCAUGUGUCCAAUCUCAGAAUUUUUUUUAACUGUGAACUGUGACCUUGGAUAAAAAAAGAACUAAAUUUACAUUUUGUUUAUCAAUGUAAACAAGGAGGCCCUCUAUCUUGAUGUAAAUCCUUUAAGUUUGUGUUAGUGAUCUACUUGAUGGGUCAGUCAUUCCAUGCAUAAUACUGCUGUCUUCUUCACCAUUAUAUGUUGCACUGUAUAUUGGGAUUGAAUGGUGCAUUUUAUGAUAUACUUGUUCUUUAAUUGUGUUUUCUUUUAAUUGUUAUACUACAGUAACUGUGAUUUUUGCAGAAACUGUUGGAAUCUCUAUAACAUGAAUUUCAUUAUGUAGGACUCUAAAGAGUUUAUUUCAGUCAGAUCUGAUUUUUUAUAUUAAUAUAUGGAUUUGUCGCUUGAAAAUUGAGUUAUUGAUUAAUAUAUUGAAUGAGUUUUUAAUUCAAUGUUGAUUUAUUGUCUUAAAAGAUUCACAGAUAUAGGGAUCAUUUUGACAUUCCCCCAGAUUAAAAGUGCUACAUUGUAAUUAUGCAUCAUAAAAAAUAUUGUCCUACAAGGUUAAAUGCCCUUGAUAAAUGUCAAAUACAGUUCCAAAUGAAAAUAAUAUCUGAUGAUUUAGGCCCAUUGAGAAUAAAUUGUGCGUGAUAUUUUUUUGUACGGAAGUGUAGGAGAAAUAUACCGGUAGUUUUCAAAAUAUUGCCAAAGGUUCUUAUUGCAAGAACUAUUGAAUAACAUCACGAAAAUGCUGUUAAAAGCUAAGUAUGUAUUGAGGAAAGAGAUAUUUUUUUU
Long non-coding RNA from Magallana angulata, 1149 nucleotides. RefSeq lists it as uncharacterized. The record is from RefSeq and is a predicted model, not a curated record. NCBI's taxonomy places the organism in Eukaryota, Metazoa, Mollusca, Bivalvia, Ostreida, Ostreidae. The transcript has 2 exons.